This 254-nucleotide ribosomal RNA is filed under the name uncultured bacterium. RNAcentral describes it as "partial 16S ribosomal RNA". It matches the Rfam family "Bacterial small subunit ribosomal RNA", at positions 524 to 776 of the family's 1533-position model. The record is from RNAcentral.
UACGUAGGGCGCAAGCGUUAUCCGGAAUUAUUGGGCGUAAAGAGCUCGUAGGCGGCUUGUCGCGUCGUCCGUGAAAACCUGCAGCUCAACUGCAGGCUUGCGGUCGAUACGGGCAGGCUAGAGUUCGGUAGGGGAGACUGGAAUUCCUGGUGUAGCGGUGAAAUGCGCAGAUAUCAGGAGGAACACCGGUGGCGAAGGCGGGUCUCUGGGCCGAUGACUGACGCUGAGGCGCGAAAGCCAGGGGAGCAAACGGG